This is a non-coding RNA of Alosa sapidissima (American shad), 583 nucleotides long. Lineage: Eukaryota; Metazoa; Chordata; Actinopteri; Clupeiformes; Clupeidae. The record is from the annotation of a RefSeq genome assembly.
GCUCUCCAAUCAGCAUCCUCUGCUGCUGACUCUGCUACUGUAUGAGGGCAUUGACUGGAGGAGGAGCAUAGAAGACACAUUUUGUCUCCUCAGUCACCCUGUAGGCCUUGCAAAUAUAUUUGAAGGGUUCAGUUCAAGCUGUAUUUGUUUUCUGGAGAUGACGUUAACAAUGCUACUCUACAGAGUUCUUUGGCUCAGCAUCCUAACAGGUGUUUGCACAGGACAGAAAAUUACUUCAGACAGAACUGAAGUGUUCCCAGAGGAAGGAGUGAAUGUUAGCUUGUCCUGUAGCUACUCCUCUGCAGAUUCUCUCCAGUGGUAUGUCCAGUAUCCCAGAUCAGCUCCACAGUUCCUCCUGCUUGUGCUGCACUCCACUGGGAAAGACCCGAGCCCAGGCAAACAUCCUCGCCUGAUGGGGAAACUAAACCAAGAGAAAACUCAAGUGUUUCUGCAGAUCUCCUCUGUUCAAGUCUCUGACUCUGCACUGUACUACUGUGCUCUGACGCCCACGGUGACACGAAACCACAGACUGCAAUACAAAAACCUGACUGACAGCGAGGGAUUGUAUUGCUCUGUUGUCUGA